Molecule: small nucleolar RNA, 132 nt
Organism: Sorex araneus (European shrew)
Lineage: Eukaryota; Metazoa; Chordata; Mammalia; Eulipotyphla; Soricidae
Product: small nucleolar RNA SNORA68
Exons: 1
Source: RefSeq, a predicted model, not a curated record
CGAGUAUCCAGACCCAAGAGCUGCUGCUCCACACAGCGGCAGCUUGAACAGUGGUGUUGACAAGCAAGUGGAUCUCGUCACCUUUGGGGGAUUGAACCGUGCCCCUAAAGUGUAGUCAGAGGUUCUACACCA